RNAcentral lists this ribosomal RNA (482 nucleotides) under uncultured bacterium. RNAcentral describes it as "partial 16S ribosomal RNA". It matches the Rfam family "Bacterial small subunit ribosomal RNA", at positions 30 to 505 of the family's 1533-position model. The record is from RNAcentral.
AUUGAACGCUGGCGGCAGGCCUAACACAUGCAAGUCGAGCGGAUGAAGGGAGCUUGCUCCUGGAUUCAGCGGCGGACGGGUGAGUAAUGCCUAGGAAUCUGCCUGGUAGUGGGGGAUAACGUCCGGAAACGGGCGCUAAUACCGCAUACGUCCUGAGGGAGAAAGUGGGGGAUCUUCGGACCUCACGCUAUCAGAUGAGCCUAGGUCGGAUUAGCUAGUUGGUGGGGUAAAGGCCUACCAAGGCGACGAUCCGUAACUGGUCUGAGAGGAUGAUCAGUCACACUGGAACGGAGACACGGUCCAGACUCCUACGGGAGGCAGCAGUGGGGAAUAUUGGACAAUGGGCGAAAGCCUGAUCCAGCCAUGCCGCGUGUGUGAAGAAGGUCUUCGGAUUGUAAAGCACUUUAAGUUGGGAGGAAGGGCAGUAAGUUAAUACCUUGCUGUUUUGACGUUACCAACAGAAUAAGCACCGGCUAACUUCG